Rhineura floridana is the source of this 528-nucleotide non-coding RNA. The record is from the annotation of a RefSeq genome assembly. Lineage: Eukaryota; Metazoa; Chordata; Lepidosauria; Squamata; Rhineuridae.
GAUGUUCUGUGUUUGUUCUUCAGCUACAGUGAACUUUGGCUUGGGUAAACUUAAAGAGAGAGAGAGAGAGAGACAGACAGACAGACAGACAGAGAAUUUAACAACUCAACAAUGACCAUAAUCUUGGCCUUGUCCAUUGUGAUGCUUUCUUCAUUAGGGGUCCUUCGGUGCCAAGGCGAGAUCAUCCAAGACCCUCUUGUGAUAGAGUCAGAUGGAAGAGCACUGAAUCUCUCUUGCAAGCACACUUCGAUUUCAACUCAAACCAUCUUUUGGUACCGACAGUUCCCUAAUGAGAGUCCUCUUGCUAUAGCAGCUGGAUACAGUGGAACAGCAGCGAGUGAUAUUGUCAAGGGGUUCUUGCAUAUUGCUGGGGAUCGAAAGGAAAGUGUGUUCUCCUUCAGAGCUACUCUGGCUGAUUCUGCAGUGUACUACUGUGCGCUGAGUGACACAGGGCUACAUCCUGAUGCCCCUCUUGUACAAAAACAGCCCCAGCAGUGCUUUUUGACCUUGAAUAAAGAAGGUACAUAG